GGAUGAUUAGCUCAAUUGGUAGAGCGCCUGCUUUACACGCAGGAGGUUUUCAGUUCAAUUCUGAAAUCAUCCU
This 73-nucleotide transfer RNA is filed under the name Picobiliphyte sp. MS584-11. RNAcentral's name for it is "tRNA-Val". It matches the Rfam family "tRNA". Rfam says of the family: Transfer RNA (tRNA) molecules are approximately 80 nucleotides in length. Their secondary structure includes four short double-helical elements and three loops (D, anti-codon, and T loops). Lineage: Eukaryota; Picozoa. The record is from RNAcentral.